GAUGAACGCUGGCGGCGUGCUUAACACAUGCAAGUCGAACGGAAAGGCUCCUGCUUGCAGGGGUACUCGAGUGGCGAACGGGUGAGUAACACGUGGGUGAUCUGCCCUGCACUUCGGGAUAAGCCUGGGAAACUGGGUCUAAUACCGGAUAGGACGAUGGUUUGGAUGCCAUUGUGGAAAGUUUUUCGGUGUGGGAUGAGCUCGCGGCCUAUCAGCUUGUUGGUGGGGUAAUGGCCUACCAAGGCGUCGACGGGUAGCCGGCCUGAGAGGGUGUACGGCCACAUUGGGACUGAGAUACGGCCCAGACUCCUACGGGAGGCAGCAGUGGGGAAUAUUGCACAAUGGGCGCAAGCCUGAUGCAGCGACGCCGCGUGGGGGAUGACGGCCUUCGGGUUGUAAACUCCUUCCGCUAGGGACGAAGCGCAAGUGACGGUACCUGGAGAAGAAGCACCGGCUAACUACGUG
RNAcentral lists this ribosomal RNA (465 nucleotides) under uncultured bacterium. RNAcentral describes it as "partial 16S ribosomal RNA". It matches the Rfam family "Bacterial small subunit ribosomal RNA", at positions 28 to 507 of the family's 1533-position model. The record is from RNAcentral.